CCUACGGGUGGCAGCAGUCGAGAAUCAUUCACAAUGGGGGAAACCCUGAUGGUGCGACGCCGCGUGGGGGAAUGAAGGUCUUCGGAUUGUAAACUCCUGUCAUGUGGGAGCAAAUUAAAAAGAUAGUACCACAUGAGGAAGAGACGGCUAACUCUGUGCCAGCAGCCGCGGUAAUACAGAGGUCUCAAGCGGUGUUCGGAAUCACUGGGCGUAAGGGGUGCGUAGGCGGUGUCGUAAGUCGUGUGUGAAAGGCGCGGGCUCAACCCGCGGACGGCACAUGAUACUGGGAGACUAGAGUAAUGGAGGGGGAAGCGGAAUUCGCGGUGUAGCAGUGAAAUGCGUAGAUAUCGAGAGGAACACUCGUGGCGAAGGCGGGUUCCUGGACAUUAACUGACGCUGAGGCACGAAGGCCAGGGGAGCGAAAGGGAUUAGAUACCCCGGUAGUC
This 446-nucleotide ribosomal RNA is filed under the name uncultured bacterium. Its description in RNAcentral is "partial 16S ribosomal RNA". It matches the Rfam family "Bacterial small subunit ribosomal RNA", at positions 338 to 795 of the family's 1533-position model. The record is from RNAcentral.